CGAACUGGCAUUGCAUUAUAUUUUGAGCAUCGAACGUACAGUCACCAGGGCUUAGGCGCGCACAUCUCGCCUCUCCAAAGGUAACGAACUCUUCGAUUGGAGGCACAUACUGCACCGUAGUAACAAUGGCGAAGAACUCCUCGACCUCCGCUCAGCUGCUUCUCAUCGUCCUCAUGUUACUGGUUUUUGUCGGCGGCAUCCUCGCACGAGGUGGACCAAGCACCUGCUCCCCUCAAGAGCAAUCCGACUGCCCUUCAAUCCCUGGUAAAGGGCAGUAAUCGUAAGCAAGCAGUGGAUCCAUGGACGAUAGGGUGGAAUCCGAGAGCCGUUUCUAUAUAUGCAGCGGGAUUUGGAGGACUCUUCUGUUGGCCUCGCAAGUUUACAACAUGCUGUCUGUUCUUCAGGUCCAUGCUUGUGUGUCGUGCUGAUGUUGGUGUACUGGCCAGCUUUACCACUACAAUUAAUAUGAUGCAAUGGACAGUAUAAUUAAUAUUGCCAAUACUACAAUAAAAAAGUAUGGAGAAGUUCAUGAGUACA
This is a long non-coding RNA of Panicum virgatum (switchgrass), 537 nucleotides long. RefSeq lists it as uncharacterized. NCBI's taxonomy places the organism in Eukaryota, Viridiplantae, Streptophyta, Magnoliopsida, Poales, Poaceae. The transcript is spliced from 2 exons. The record is from RefSeq and is a predicted model, not a curated record.